CAGCAGCCGCGGGAAUACGAACCGUGCGAACGUUAUUCGGAAUCACUGGGCUUAAAGCGCGUGUAGGCGGGCCGCCGCGUCGGCUGCUGAAAUCCCCCGGCUCAACCGGGGAACGGGCACCGAUACGGGCGGCCUCGAGGGGGGUAGGGGGGCCUGGAACUUCCGGUGGAGCGGUGAAAUGCGUCGAGAUCGGAAGGAACGCCCGUGGCGAAAGCGAGGCCCUGGACCCUUUCUGACGCUGAGACGCGGAAGCCAGGGGAGCGAACGGGAUUAGAUACCCCAGUAGUCCCUGUCUCUUAUA
This 301-nucleotide ribosomal RNA is filed under the name uncultured bacterium. RNAcentral describes it as "partial 16S ribosomal RNA". It matches the Rfam family "Bacterial small subunit ribosomal RNA", at positions 509 to 807 of the family's 1533-position model. The record is from RNAcentral.